RNAcentral lists this ribosomal RNA (507 nucleotides) under uncultured bacterium. RNAcentral's name for it is "partial 16S ribosomal RNA". The record is from RNAcentral.
GGAGUUAGCCGGUGCUUCUUCUGUGAGUGAUGUCCUUCCUGCCGGUUAUUGACCCGCAGGCCUUCUUCCUCACUGAAAGUGCUUUACAACCCGAAGGCCUUCUUCACACACGCGGCAUGGCUGGAUCAGGGUUGCCCCCAUUGUCCAAUAUUCCCCACUGCUGCCUCCCGUAGGAGUCUGGGCCGUGUCUCAGUCCCAGUGUGGCUGAUCAUCCUCUCAGACCAGCUACGGAUCGUCGCCUUGGUGAGCCGUUACCUCACCAACCAGCUAAUCCGACAUAGGCUCAUCCGAUAGCGCGAGGCCCGAAGGUCCCCCGCUUUCCCCCGUAGGGCGUAUGCGGUAUUAGCCUGGGUUUCCCCAGGUUAUCCCCCACUACCAGGCAGAUUCCUAUGCAUUACUCACCCGUCCGCCGCUCGCCACCAGGGAGCAAGCUCCCCGUGCUGCCGCUCGACUUGCAUGUGUUAGGCCUGCCGCCAGCGUUCAAUCUGAGCCAGAAUCGAACCCUGA